This 1333-nucleotide ribosomal RNA is filed under the name Salmonella enterica. RNAcentral's name for it is "partial 23S ribosomal RNA". It matches the Rfam family "Bacterial large subunit ribosomal RNA", at positions 1491 to 2802 of the family's 2925-position model. The record is from RNAcentral. Lineage: Bacteria; Pseudomonadati; Pseudomonadota; Gammaproteobacteria; Enterobacterales; Enterobacteriaceae. RNAcentral also lists the same sequence under 1 other name.
CCGGGCGACGGUUGUCCCGGUUUAAGCGUGUAGGUGUGUGUUCCAGGUAAAUCCGGUUCACUUUAACACUGAGGCGUGACGACGAGGCACUACGGUGCUGAAGCAACAAAUGCCCUGCUUCCAGGAAAAGCCUCUAAGCAUCAGGUAACAUCAAAUCGUACCCCAAACCGACACAGGUGGUCAGGUAGAGAAUACCAAGGCGCUUGAGAGAACUCGGGUGAAGGAACUAGGCAAAAUGGUGCCGUAACUUCGGGAGAAGGCACGCUGACACGUAGGUGAAGUGAUUUACUCAUGGAGCUGAAGUCAGUCGAAGAUACCAGCUGGCUGCAACUGUUUAUUAAAAACACAGCACUGUGCAAACACGAAAGUGGACGUAUACGGUGUGACGCCUGCCCGGUGCCGGAAGGUUAAUUGAUGGGGUCAGCGCAAGCGAAGCUCCUGAUCGAAGCCCCGGUAAACGGCGGCCGUAACUAUAACGGUCCUAAGGUAGCGAAAUUCCUUGUCGGGUAAGUUCCGACCUGCACGAAUGGCGUAAUGAUGGCCAGGCUGUCUCCACCCGAGACUCAGUGAAAUUGAACUCGCUGUGAAGAUGCAGUGUACCCGCGGCAAGACGGAAAGACCCCGUGAACCUUUACUAUAGCUUGACACUGAACAUUGAGCCUUGAUGUGUAGGAUAGGUGGGAGGCUUUGAAGUGUGGACGCCAGUCUGCAUGGAGCCGACCUUGAAAUACCACCCUUUAAUGUUUGAUGUUCUAACGUGGACCCGUUACCCGGGUUGCGGACAGUGUCUGGUGGGUAGUUUGACUGGGGCGGUCUCCUCCUAAAGAGUAACGGAGGAGCACGAAGGUUGGCUAAUCCUGGUCGGACAUCAGGAGGUUAGUGCAAUGGCAUAAGCCAGCUUGACUGCGAGCGUGACGGCGCGAGCAGGUGCGAAAGCAGGUCAUAGUGAUCCGGUGGUUCUGAAUGGAAGGGCCAUCGCUCAACGGAUAAAAGGUACUCCGGGGAUAACAGGCUGAUACCGCCCAAGAGUUCAUAUCGACGGCGGUGUUUGGCACCUCGAUGUCGGCUCAUCACAUCCUGGGGCUGAAGUAGGUCCCAAGGGUAUGGCUGUUCGCCAUUUAAAGUGGUACGCGAGCUGGGUUUAGAACGUCGUGAGACAGUUCGGUCCCUAUCUGCCGUGGGCGCUGGAGAACUGAGGGGGGCUGCUCCUAGUACGAGAGGACCGGAGUGGACGCAUCACUGGUGUUCGGGUUGUCAUGCCAAUGGCACUGCCCGGUAGCUAAAUGCGGAAGAGAUAAGUGCUGAAAGCAUCUAAGCACGAAACUUGCCCCGA